This 310-nucleotide ribosomal RNA is filed under the name Lopa convexa. Its description in RNAcentral is "partial 12S ribosomal RNA". Lineage: Eukaryota; Metazoa; Arthropoda; Insecta; Diptera; Coelopidae. The record is from RNAcentral.
CUUGAGUAGUAUUAGUUAUGUUCUUGAAACUUAAAAAAUUUGGCGGUAUUUUAGUCUAUUCAGAGGAACCUGUCCUAUAAUCGAUAAUCCACGAUGGACCUAACUUUAGUUUGUAAUUCAGUUUAUAUACCGUCGUUAUCAGAGAAUUCUAUCAGGAAAAUAAUUCUCAAUAAUUUUUAUUAGAAUUUAUAUCAGAUCAAGGUGUAGCUUAUGCUAAAGAAGAGAUGGGUUACAAUAAAAAUAUUUAAAUGGAUUGAUUUAUGAAAAAAAUCAUGAAAGUGGAUUUGAAAGUAAAAUUAUAAAGAUUAAU